Non-coding RNA from Seriola aureovittata, 633 nucleotides. The record is from the annotation of a RefSeq genome assembly. Lineage: Eukaryota; Metazoa; Chordata; Actinopteri; Carangiformes; Carangidae.
AUGAUGAUGUCUCUGACUCUACUGCUGGCCACCCUGGGGCUCCUUGUUCAGGGUUCAUCAGGAGAAAUCAUCCUGACUCAGACUCCUGGAUCUCAGUCUGUUGUUCCAGGACAGACUGUCUCUAUCAGAUGUAAAGCCAGUUCAAGUGUUAGUGGCUGGCUUCACUGGUACCUUCAGAAACCUGGAGAAACUCCUAAACUCUUGAUUUAUAAAGAUACAAACCGUGGAUCUGGAGUUUCAGAUCGUUUUAGUGGAAGUGGAUCAGAGACUGACUUCACUCUGACCAUCAGUGGAGUUCAGGGUGAAGAUUCAGGAGUUUACUACUGUCAGCAGAGUUACAGCUGGCAGUUCACACGGUGAAAAGGCGUCGUACAAAAACCUCCCUCAGCUGCAGAGGAACUGAUCUGACUCAACAGCUGCACUGAAACUCAAACAACAGAUGUUGUUAAAACUCACCCGUUAUUUCACUAAAACACAUUUUAGUCAUUUUUGUGCUUUAUAUUCCAACAAACUGAAGUUUUUUUAUCAUUGAAAUCAAAGAGGAUUUAUGACUGGAUGAUUCUUCAUUGAAAUGUUUCUACCAUAGGUUUAAGUUACAAAUGUGUUUUAUUGAAGAAAAAUCUGCAGCAACUA